This 975-nucleotide ribosomal RNA is filed under the name human gut metagenome. Its description in RNAcentral is "bacterial LSU rRNA". It matches the Rfam family "Bacterial large subunit ribosomal RNA", at positions 1955 to 2925 of the family's 2925-position model. The record is from RNAcentral.
GGUAGCGAAAUUCCUUGUCGGGCAAGUUCCGACCUGCACGAAUGGCAUAACGAUGGCCACACUGUCUCCUCCUGAGACUCAGUGAAGUUGAAGUGUUUGUGAUGAUGCAAUCUCCCCGCGGCUAGACGGAAAGACCCCAUGAACCUUUACUGUAGCUUUGCAUUGGACUUUGAACCGAUCUGUGUAGGAUAGGCGGGAGCCUGUGAAACCACAACGCCAGUUGUGGCGGAGGCGUCCUUGAAAUACCGCCCUGAUUUGUUUGAGGUUCUAACCUGGGACAGUCAUCCUGUCCGGGGACCGUGCAUGGUAGGCAGUUUGACUGGGGCGGUCUCCUCCUAAAGGGUAACGGAGGAGUGCGAAGGUACGCUAGGUACGGUCGGAAAUCGUGCUGAUAGUGCAAUGGCAAAAGCGUGCUUGACUGCGAGACCCACAAGUCGAGCAGAUACGAAAGUAGGUCAUAGUGAUCCGGUGGCUCUGUAUGGAAGGGCCAUCGCUCAACGGAUAAAAGGUACUCUGGGGAUAACAGGCUGAUACCGCCCAAGAGUUCAUAUCGACGGCGGUGUUUGGCACCUCGAUGUCGGCUCAUCUCAUCCUGGGGCUGUAGCCGGUCCCAAGGGUAUGGCUGUUCGCCAUUUAAAGAGGUACGUGAGCUGGGUUUAAAACGUCGUGAGACAGUUUUGUCCCUAUCUGCCGUGGGCGCUGGAAGAUUGACGGGGGCUGCUCCUAGUACGAGAGGACCGGAGUGGACUCACCUCUGGUGUACCGGUUGUCACGCCAGUGGCAUCGCCGGGUAGCUAUGUGGGGAAGAGAUAACCGCUGAAAGCAUCUAAGCGGGAAACUUGCCUGAAGAUAAGUCUUCCUGGAGGCUAGACCUCCCUAAAGAGUCGUUCGAGACCAGGACGUUGAUAGGAUGGGUGUGUAAGUGCUGUGAGGCACUCAGCUAACCAUUACUAAUUGCUCGUGAAGCUUGAUCCU